CUUGAGACUGGCGCAGAGGAGCCAAUUCUAGAUCUUUAUCAGAGAACACACCAAAGGUGAUUGGGGGAGUGGUGCCAGGGUGCACAGGGCAUACAUGAGAAGAUGCUCGAGCUGAGGGAUGCACCCAUUCCAAAGGGGAGUUAGCUAUUGACGGAUUAUGAGAUCUCUACAUAGGUGCUUGGGGAACGAGCGGGGGGCUGGGUGAGAGGUCUUGGGAGUGGAUACGUCACCCCAACAACAUCAUCUUCUACGAGUGCGGCGUCUCAUGCUAAGUUUGAACAAGCGCGUCGAGACGCUAAGUAUCAAGUGGAUCAGAUGGUUCACCGUAUACAGAAGAUAGAAAUGGAGAAUCAGCAAUUGAAAGAUACGGUGUCCAGCUAUGACCUAGAGAACCAACAACUAAAAGAGAAGGUGUUUAACUUUGAAGCCAAGCUGGAGUUCCUUAUGAACAGGCAAGCACAGCUUAAACAAGUGAUGCACCAAUCUCGUCCAGAUGAUGUAGGUGGCUCCUCCUCUCAUUAGAAGGUUGCUAUAUGUAUAAGAUGGCCGCUCAUCGCCCUGCAUUUAAAACUUUUGUAUGUUCUCUUGAUUGCUUUAUUUUUUAGUUAACUCCUUCGAUUUGAAACUAUAUAAUUCGAGUGUUGUCCUGUGUUCCGAGAAUUUUCUUAAUGACAUGCUACAAUCGAAUGCAGCUUUUAAGUUUUUUUUUUUUUUUUGUAUUUUUUUAUCAAAACAGAUGGAAUUUCUAUAUUUGAAUUUAAAUUUGUAUAAUGUAUUUGAAUAUGAAUUUUGGAUUAUUUAUGAAUUUGAAUAAUAUAUGAAUUUUU
This is a long non-coding RNA of Malania oleifera, 827 nucleotides long. RefSeq lists it as uncharacterized. Lineage: Eukaryota; Viridiplantae; Streptophyta; Magnoliopsida; Santalales; Ximeniaceae. The transcript has 3 exons. The record is from RefSeq and is a predicted model, not a curated record.